UCCAGACUCCUACGGGAGGCAGCAGUGGGGAAUAUUGCACAAUGGGGGAAACCCUGAUGCAGCAACGCCGCGUGAGUGAAGAAGUAUUUCGGUAUGUAAAGCUCUAUCAGCAGGGAAGAAGAGAGACGGUACCUGACUAAGAAGCCCCGGCUAACUACGUGCCAGCAGCCGCGGUAAUACGUAGGGGGCAAGCGUUAUCCGGAUUUACUGGGUGUAAAGGGAGCGUAGACGGCAGCGCAAGUCUGAAGUGAAAUGCCGGGGCUUAACCCCGGAACUGCUUUGGAAACUGAGCAGCUAGAGUGCAGGAGAGGUAAGUGGAAUUCCUAGUGUAGCGGUGAAAUGCGUAGAUAUUAGGAGGAACACCAGUGGCGAAGGCGGCCUGCUGGGCUUUUACUGACGCUGAGGCUCGAAAGUGUGGGGAGCAAACAGGAUUAGAUACCCGAGUAC
This 447-nucleotide ribosomal RNA is filed under the name uncultured bacterium. RNAcentral describes it as "partial 16S ribosomal RNA". It matches the Rfam family "Bacterial small subunit ribosomal RNA", at positions 330 to 793 of the family's 1533-position model. The record is from RNAcentral.